RNAcentral lists this transfer RNA (73 nucleotides) under Loxodonta africana (African savanna elephant). It matches the Rfam family "tRNA". Rfam says of the family: Transfer RNA (tRNA) molecules are approximately 80 nucleotides in length. Their secondary structure includes four short double-helical elements and three loops (D, anti-codon, and T loops). Lineage: Eukaryota; Metazoa; Chordata; Mammalia; Proboscidea; Elephantidae. The record is from Rfam by way of RNAcentral.
GCUCUGGUGGUGCAAGUGGUUAGAUGCUUGGCUGCUAACCAAAAGGUUGGUGGUUCGAACCCACCCAGUGGCU